AAAAACUUAGGAUAUUUAAACCAAGGGCCUUCAAAGCCCUAAAAAAGGGCGCAAACCCNUWAG
Molecule: transfer RNA, 63 nt
Filed under: Anolis distichus (bark anole)
Lineage: Eukaryota; Metazoa; Chordata; Lepidosauria; Squamata; Anolidae
Description: partial tRNA-Trp
Source: RNAcentral